Molecule: ribosomal RNA, 810 nt
Filed under: uncultured bacterium
Lineage: Bacteria
Description: bacterial SSU rRNA
Rfam family: Bacterial small subunit ribosomal RNA
Source: RNAcentral
AGAGUUUGAUCAUGGCUCAGAAUGAACGCUGGCGGCGUGCUUAACACAUGCAAGUCGAGCGAGGCCUGGGGGGCAACUCCCAGAGUCGAGCGGCGGACGGGUGAGUAACACGUGGGUAACCUGCCCGGAAGUGGGGAAUACCUCGGGGAAACUCGAGCUAAUACCGCAUGACAUCUUCGGGACGAAAGUCCUGACGAUCAAAGCGGGGUCGCAAGAUCUCGCGCUACCGGAUGGGCCCGCGCCCGAUUAGCUAGUUGGUGAGGUAAUGGCUCACCAAGGCUUCGAUCGGUAACCGGCCUGAGAGGGCGAUCGGUCACACCGGAACUGAGACACGGCCCGGACUCCUACGGGAGGCAGCAGUGGGGAAUCUUGCGCAAUGGGCGAAAGCCUGACGCAGCAACGCCGCGUGGAGGAUGAAGGCCCUUGGGUUGUAAACUCCUGUCGGCUGGGAAGAAAUCGUACGGUGUUAAUACCACCGUGCGUUGACUGUACCAGCAAAGGAAGCCCCGGCUAACUCUGUGCCAGCAGCCGCGGUAAUACAGAGGGGGCUGGCGUUAUUCGGAAUUAUUGGGCGUAAAGGGCGCGUAGGCGGCUCUGCGUGUCUUCCGUGAAAUCCCUCGGCUCAACUGAGGACGUGCGGAAGAAACUGCAGGGCUCGAGUCCGGGAGAGGGGGGUGGAAUUCCCAGUGUAGCGGUGAAAUGCGUAGAUAUUGGGAGGAACACCGGUGGCGAAGGCGGCCCCCUGGACCGGUACUGACGCUGAGGCGCGAAAGCGUGGGGAGCAAACGGGAUUAGAUACCCUAGUAGUCC